GGACAUGAGGGCUAUCAGGCUGCGACGCGUGUCACCCCAUUGAUUGCCAGGGUUGAUUUGGCUGAUCUGGCUGUCUAAGCAGGUGUCCCCUUCCUCCCUCACCACUCCACGGGCAUCCCACCCGAAGCUGCAUGCCUUGUGGAAGAAAAUGACCAUCCCCAAGGAGGACCGGUCUUUGGUCAAGGAUAUAGGAGUAGCCGUGCUCUCCUGCUAGAAUCUUCAGACACGCUCUCAAGCUUCAUUUGUAGGAGAAUGUAGGGUAGUCAAACUUCCAAGACCUCAGACACAUCCAAAUGAGGUGUGGCGUGUGGCAGUCUGUUUUU
Molecule: non-coding RNA, 323 nt
Organism: Pongo abelii (Sumatran orangutan)
Lineage: Eukaryota; Metazoa; Chordata; Mammalia; Primates; Hominidae
Source: Rfam